This 460-nucleotide ribosomal RNA is filed under the name uncultured bacterium. RNAcentral's name for it is "partial 16S ribosomal RNA". It matches the Rfam family "Bacterial small subunit ribosomal RNA", at positions 338 to 795 of the family's 1533-position model. The record is from RNAcentral.
CCUACGGGAGGCAGCAGUGAGGAAUAUUGGUCAAUGGACGAGAGUCUGAACCAGCCAAGUAGCGUGAAGGCUGACUGCCCUAUGGGUUGUAAACUUCUUUUAUAUGGGAAUAAAAUGUUCCACGUGUGGAAUUUUGUAUGUCUCAUAUGAAUAAGGAUCGGCUAACUCCGUGCCAGCAGCCGCGGUAAUACGGCGGAUCCGAGCGUUAUCCGGAUUUAUUGGGUUUAAAGGGAGCGUAGGUGGAUUGGUAAGUCAGUUGUGAAAGUUUGCGGCUCAACCGUAAAAUUGCAGUUGAAACUGGCAGUCUAGAGUACAGUAGAGGUAGGCGGAAUUCGUGGUGUAGCGGUGAAAUGCUUAGAUAGCACGAAGAACUCCGAUUGCGAAGGCAGCUCACUGGACUGCAACUGACACUGAGGCUCGAAAGUGUGGGUAUCAAACAGGAUUAGAUACCCCGGUAGUC